Molecule: transfer RNA, 75 nt
Filed under: Cyanobacteria bacterium UBA9226
Lineage: Bacteria; Bacillati; Cyanobacteriota
Description: tRNA-Gln
Rfam family: tRNA
About the family: Transfer RNA (tRNA) molecules are approximately 80 nucleotides in length. Their secondary structure includes four short double-helical elements and three loops (D, anti-codon, and T loops).
Source: RNAcentral
UGCCCUGUGGUGUAACUGGCAACAUCUCCCGCUUUGAACGGGAAGAUCUAGGUUCAAACCCUGGCGGGGCAGCCA